UUGCCCCUCAGUCUACACCCUAAUUAUUUGGUCUCUAUCCUUGAUAUAUCUACCUAUACUCUUGAUAUAAUGGCUUGCAAUCUUAGCAUUUGGGCUUGCAUCCUUGUUGGUCUAUCAACCUACACUCUUAAUAUUUUGACAUGCAGACAUAUCGAUUUAUCAACCUACACCCUUGAUGUAUUAGCCUGCAUAUUUGGUGUUGCAACCUACAUACCUAUUGAUGUUUCAGUCUGCGCCCUUAGUAUAUCAACUUGCAUCAUUGGUAUAUUUGCAUAUAUCCUUGGUGUUUCAACUUGUACUUUAAUUAAUAUAUUAGCUUACAUCCUUGGA
RNAcentral lists this long non-coding RNA (330 nucleotides) under Elaeis guineensis (African oil palm). RNAcentral's name for it is "long non-coding RNA (EGUI_LNC018173)". The record is from RNAcentral. Lineage: Eukaryota; Viridiplantae; Streptophyta; Magnoliopsida; Arecales; Arecaceae.